RNAcentral lists this ribosomal RNA (477 nucleotides) under uncultured Nocardioides sp. RNAcentral describes it as "bacterial SSU rRNA". It matches the Rfam family "Bacterial small subunit ribosomal RNA", at positions 348 to 844 of the family's 1533-position model. Lineage: Bacteria; Bacillati; Actinomycetota; Actinomycetes; Propionibacteriales; Nocardioidaceae. The record is from RNAcentral.
GCAGCAGUGGGGAAUAUUGGACAAUGGGCGGAAGCCUGAUCCAGCAACGCCGCGUGAGGGAUGACGGCCUUCGGGUUGUAAACCUCUUUCAGCACAGACGAAGCGCAAGUGACGGUAUGUGCAGAAGAAGGACCGGCCAACUACGUGCCAGCAGCCGCGGUAAUACGUAGGGUCCGAGCGUUGUCCGGAAUUAUUGGGCGUAAAGGGCUCGUAGGCGGUCUGUCGCGUCGGGAGUGAAAACCAGGUGCUUAACACCUGGCCUGCUUCCGAUACGGGCAGACUAGAGGUACUCAGGGGAGAAUGGAAUUCCUGGUGUAGCGGUGAAAUGCGCAGAUAUCAGGAGGAACACCGGUGGCGAAGGCGGUUCUCUGGGAGUAUCCUGACGCUGAGGAGCGAAAGUGUGGGGAGCGAACAGGAUUAGAUACCCUGGUAGUCCACACCGUAAACGUUGGGCGCUAGGUGUGGGAUCCAUUCCAC